RNAcentral lists this ribosomal RNA (301 nucleotides) under uncultured bacterium. Its description in RNAcentral is "partial 16S ribosomal RNA". It matches the Rfam family "Bacterial small subunit ribosomal RNA", at positions 509 to 807 of the family's 1533-position model. The record is from RNAcentral.
CAGUCGCCGCGGUAAUACAGAGGGUGCGAGCGUUAAUCGGAUUUACUGGGCGUAAAGCGUGCGUAGGCGGCUUCUUAAGUCGGAUGUGAAAUCCCUGAGCUUAACUUAGGAAUUGCAUUCGAUACUGGGAAGCUAGAGUAUGGGAGAGGAUGGUAGAAUUCAAGGUGUAGCGGUGAAAUGCGUAGAGAUCUGGAGGAAUACCGAUGGCGAAGGCAGCCAUCUGGCCUAAUACUGACGCUGAGGUACGAAAGCAUGGGGAGCAAACAGGAUUAGAUACCCGUGUAGUCCCUGUCUCUUAUAC